UGGGAAUUUUGGACAAUGGGCGAAAGCCUGAUCCAGCAAUGCCGCGUGUGUGAAGAAGGCCUUCGGGUUGUAAAGCACUUUUGUCCGGAAAGAAAUCCUUGGCUCUAAUACAGUCGGGGGAUGACGGUACCGGAAGAAUAAGCACCGGCUAACUACGUGCCAGCAGCCGCGGUAAUACGUAGGGCGCAAGCGUUAAUCGGAAUUACUGGGCGUAAAGCGUGCGCAGGCGGUUUGCUAAGACCGAUGUGAAAUCCCCGGGCUCAACCUGGGAACUGCAUUGGUGACUGGCAGGCUAGAGUAUGGCAGAGGGGGGUAGAAUUCCACGUGUAGCAGUGAAAUGCGUAGAGAUGUGGAGGAAUACCGAUGGCGAAGGCAGCCCCCUGGGCCAAUACUGACGCUCAUGCACGAAAGCGUGGGGAGCAAACAGGAUUAGAUACCCUGGUAGUCCACGCCCUAAACGAUGUCAACUAGUUGUUGGGGAUUCAUUUCCUUAGUAACGUAGCUAACGCGUGAAGUUGACCGCCUGGGGAGUACGGUCGCAAGAUUAAAACUCAAAGGAAUUGACGGGGUCAUAGCUGUUUCCU
RNAcentral lists this ribosomal RNA (584 nucleotides) under uncultured bacterium. RNAcentral's name for it is "partial 16S ribosomal RNA". It matches the Rfam family "Bacterial small subunit ribosomal RNA", at positions 356 to 1375 of the family's 1533-position model. The record is from RNAcentral.